AGUCAUCGUCAAGCCAUAAACAACAUUAUCUUACUUUGUUUUUCACGGCAAUCCAUUGUCUUUUAACUCCAAUGUUGUACCUUUUUUUAACGUCAUUACAUCCCAUGUUGCAUUAAAAACUCCAAUUAUCCAAUUAUCUUACCCCACAUCACCCUAUGAAUUAUCUUCUUUGUCCUUUCACACACACCAAAACACUAAAAACUGAAUCGAAUCUCUAUAAAUUCUAUCUAAACUUGCAUAUAGAUACACACACACACUCACCCACACACAUACCCACGCACUCGAUUUUCUCAACACAAUAAUUAAUCCGUUCUCUUUCUCUUCCUGUGCAGCUUUAUUUGAGUGAAGACAUGGGGUUGCACCUAGUGGCUCUGGCGAAGGUGAAACUCCUAGGGGUUUCUAAGCUCCAUGGUGCACCAUUUGUAGCCAUCUUGGCAUGGCCAUUCUUUCUAAAAGUAGUAUUGAGUUUGAAACCUUUUCAAAAUCUUAUCAUGUCUGUGGCACAAGAGUCGAGGCUUUUUGUGUUUCAGUUGAACCAGAUAAUCGGUUUUCAAGCUGCUGGUAGAUCUAGAGCUGAUCAUGGAUUUGAUGGAAAUAGGAGAAGAUGGGAGCGAGUUAUCCGAUUAGUGCAGGAAAGGCUGCCGAAUGUUGGCCGGUCGAUGCCGUUUGAAGAUUAUGACCAAAGCUUGCAAGUUCUCUCGAUUGUAGCCUUUUGAGAGAGUGAGAACAAAGUUCAUGGCUUUUCCCAAUGCAAAAGAAGAGGACAGCAGGGGUGCAUUGAUUUUGUUUUUUCUUUAUCAUUUGUCAUCCCUUGUAUCAGUUUUAUACAUUUGAAGCUACCAACAAGAGACUACUUCAUCGCACAAGACACCUUUUUGAUAAUCGACCUCACAAAAAAAUGUUUUCAGAAAGAUUCAUAAUUUAUAGAGCUUAAACAAACUGGUGAUAUAUAUAGAUUGGUCAAACGAGAGCAAACUGUACUCAAAAGCUUACAAUCUUUUAAAAAAAGAACAUGAGUAUGUUACGAGAUAAUUACAAAAAUGACCAAAUACAUGCGCAUUAGCUGCGCUUUUCAAAAUUAUUAUAAAAUAACCAUAUAAUUCUAGAAAAUGCCUUACCAAAUUCUCUGAGUUUAUUAUUUAUUUAUGGAAAAUGUUUUCAUGUGGGGUACACAAAACACCAUCUUACUUUCACACUAAAUUAUUGCCUUUUUUCCGUGCAAAACUUUAAGUUGAAGUACUCCACACACCAUCGUACUUUCGAUAACAUCUCUACUCCGACAUUCAACACCGGUUAUUGAGAUUUUACAUCAUUCAUUCGGUGACUUUUAUUGUGGUGGUGCUGUUGAAUACACGGAUAAAGUGCUUAAGUGUGAUCAAUAAUUACAACUUUUAUCAUUCAAGAAAAAAGAAUGUAUUCCAAAUAUUGUUAGACAUAUAAUCCUCACUUAUUACAUAAGAGAGUUUUAGAGUUAACCUUUUCUGUUGACGAGGAAGAUGAAGAUAUUUCGGCUCAAAUUAAAGUUGAAAUGAUGGAAAGAUCAAAGAUAUAGGGGUGAGUAUGUUGUUGCAAUCCAUCCAUAGUGAACUUACUUUCAUCACGAAACACUUUAUAUCAUUUUUUAUUUUCGGUUUAAUGUUGUUCCUAGAUGAUGAAUUACUUAUAUAACCUUUGAUUUGGUGCGUUUA
Long non-coding RNA from Lactuca sativa (garden lettuce), 1688 nucleotides. RefSeq lists it as uncharacterized. Lineage: Eukaryota; Viridiplantae; Streptophyta; Magnoliopsida; Asterales; Asteraceae. The record is from RefSeq and is a predicted model, not a curated record.